UUCCCUGACACACAGCAGGUUAAUGGCAGGC
Molecule: non-coding RNA, 31 nt
Filed under: Rattus norvegicus (Norway rat)
Lineage: Eukaryota; Metazoa; Chordata; Mammalia; Rodentia; Muridae
Source: RNAcentral